GUUGGCAGUGGAGGUAAGGGUAUCUUGUUGGAGAUCCCUGUGUAGCUGAGGCCUUAUGAAGGCUACCCACAAGGCUAUGUUAGCACUGAGCUGAAGCUUCGAGACAAGCCUGGGCUUGUGGUUUGUUACCUGACAAGGCUGAAAAAAGAUGAAUACUAAAUGCAAGAUUUUUGGCUUGGCCUUCACUUUCCAAGACAGGAAAGCUGGUCCUACCGCACCUAAGGCAUCCAGCACUUCCCAGCGUUCUGCUCUUGAUGUUAAAAAUGGAUGUGAGGACAGCUUGGUGGUGUUGAGCAGCCCAACAACACAGCCUAGUGAGGGGACUUCAGUGGGGAGAACUAUAAUGAGACUAUCCCAGCUGCGGGGCUGAAAUGAUAAACGAUUCCCACCUCUGGGAGUGGAUGUAGACAUUGCAAACCACAACUAUUGGGAUCCACCUCUUUGUACCACUGUUUCAGACGAGCGUUUCAAGCUCUUUCUUUGGCUGUUGUCACUACAGAAGAUGGACAGGAAUCUGCCUCGAGCGGGCAGACUCUGAUCUUUCCUACUUUAAUUGGGUGGUUAGUUGUAUCUUUUCUUCCCUAAAUUAUUGGCAGGAAAUUGCAAUUUAAUCCAUUCUGCACUUAAGAAAUUUAAUCAAUCAUUAGAAAUAACCGCCAAUGAUAGGAAACUAUGGUAAUUCAUGUUAUUUUUGCAGACAAAGCACUGAUAUAAACAAAACAUAAUUAAACAUGCCCUCUUUAUACACUUCAUAAAAAGCCACAGUCCUUGGGUAUUAUAAAUCUAAACUUAUUUCUCUGAUCUUGGGGCAUAAAAUGUGUUCUGUGAAUUGUGUUACUUCUUGUAGGAAAACACUGAUAAUAUUUGCCUCGCAGGCAGCAUAAAACACAAAAUGUAAAAUAAAAAUAAGUUAUUAAUCAGACUAACGGGCAACUUAAAUGGAAAGCUGUCUUCUAUGUCACAUUAAAAAUGAUAAUGAGCAACAUUUCACAAGGCAAUAUUAUUCAAAAAAAAAAAAAAAAAUCCACGUUGCACACAGCCUUCUCGCUCCAUAUCUGUGCUGUAGUCUCCAGGAAGCAAACAAGAAGGACAAGUUUUGUUGCUGGUUACCAUGGGUAUGUUGCCCGAGGAAUACCUGUGU
This is a long non-coding RNA of Numida meleagris (helmeted guineafowl), 1141 nucleotides long. RefSeq lists it as uncharacterized. Lineage: Eukaryota; Metazoa; Chordata; Aves; Galliformes; Numididae. The record is from RefSeq and is a predicted model, not a curated record. The transcript has 3 exons.